UCGUGUUAAGCCAAAAUCCGCCCUUUUUGACAGAAAAAAAUGAAAAACAAAAACCCUAACCAGAGAGAAAGAGAGCUAUUUCAAUUUUCAAUGGCGAUACAGACCACCUCGAGUUCGAGCGGAAGAAGACAUGCUUUAGGCAUACAACUCAAAGCACUUGUUUGUUUGGAGGGAGUUUCUGCGGAGACUACUUCUAGGGCAUUUGGGGACCUGUAAAGACAUAUAUUCAGAGCCAACUAGUCUUUGUGCAAGUCAGGUUAUGUUCUAUGAAGGGUUGAAAGAUUAAAUAGAGUAUGGGAAGCAAAAAUAGGUACAAUGGGUGGUUGGAUGCACAGGGGAUGUUCAGGUAGCAAAUCCAGCUUUAGCUCUUACCUUAAUGGCUGCACUACGGAAUUUCCCAGAAGGAUUGAGCAAUGAUAACACACGAGGGUACCCUAAAGGUUGUCCCUCAGAUAUUUGAGGGAUCCCUCAAUAGGAGAGAGAGAGGAAAUGAAGCAUUUUUUCUCGUCUUUUAUGUAAAGUUCACAUCAUCAGGAGGGGAUAAGAUUUGAAGAGUGAAGAGAUUGACAAGCAUUCUGUGUGAGAGAGAGAGAGAGAGAGAGAGAGAGAGAGAGAGAGAGUCCCUCUCCCUAGUUUCAAGGGUUGGUCCCAGUUUCCUGAUUCUCUAGUUGAUGAGCAUAUGUGUACUUUUUGUUGUACUCGUGUCGUGUGGACUAACUCAACCCUAGAAGAAGAAGAAUUGAAACAAAAUAACU
Molecule: long non-coding RNA, 755 nt
Organism: Prunus dulcis (almond)
Lineage: Eukaryota; Viridiplantae; Streptophyta; Magnoliopsida; Rosales; Rosaceae
Exons: 4
Source: RefSeq, a predicted model, not a curated record